RNAcentral lists this unclassified non-coding RNA (253 nucleotides) under uncultured Gammaproteobacteria bacterium. Its description in RNAcentral is "contains 16S-23S intergenic spacer region". It matches the Rfam family "Bacterial small subunit ribosomal RNA", at positions 524 to 776 of the family's 1533-position model. Lineage: Bacteria; Pseudomonadati; Pseudomonadota; Gammaproteobacteria. The record is from RNAcentral.
UACGUAGGGUGCGAGCGUUAAUCGGAAUUACUGGGCGUAAAGCGUGCGCAGGCGGCUGUGCAAGACAGAUGUGAAAUCCCCGGGCUUAACCUGGGAAUGGCAUUUGCGACUGCACGGCUAGAGUGUGUCAGAGGGGGGUGGAAUUCCACGUGUAGCAGUGAAAUGCGUAGAGAUGUGGAGGAAUACCGAUGGCGAAGGCAGCCCCCUGGGAUGACACUGACGCUCAUGCACGAAAGCGUGGGGAGCAAACAGG